AUUGAACGCUGGCGGCAGGCUUAACACAUGCAAGUCGAGCGGGGGAAGGUAGCUUGCUACCGGACCUAGCGGCGGACGGGUGAGUAAUGCUUAGGAAUCUGCCUAUUAGUGGGGGACAACAUCUCGAAAGGGAUGCUAAUACCGCAUACGUCCUACGGGAGAAAGCAGGGGAUCUUCGGACCUUGCGCUAAUAGAUGAGCCUAAGUCGGAUUAGCUAGUUGGUGGGGUAAAGGCCUACCAAGGCGACGUUCUGUAGCGGGUCUGAGAGGAUGAUCCGCCACACUGGGACUGAGACACGGCCCAGACUCCUAUGGGAGGCAGCAGUGGGGAAUAUUGGACAAUGGGGGGAACCCUGAUCCAGCCAUGCCGCGUGUGUGAAGAAGGCCUUAUGGUUGUAAAGCACCUUAAGCGAGGAGGAGGCUACUCUAGUUAAUACCUAGGGAUAGUGGACGUUACUCGCAGAAUAAGCACCGGCUAACUCUGUGCCAGCCGCCGCAGUAA
Molecule: ribosomal RNA, 501 nt
Filed under: uncultured bacterium
Lineage: Bacteria
Description: partial 16S ribosomal RNA
Rfam family: Bacterial small subunit ribosomal RNA
Source: RNAcentral